RNAcentral lists this ribosomal RNA (427 nucleotides) under uncultured bacterium. RNAcentral's name for it is "bacterial SSU rRNA". It matches the Rfam family "Bacterial small subunit ribosomal RNA", at positions 355 to 775 of the family's 1533-position model. The record is from RNAcentral.
UCGAGAAUUUUUCACAAUGGGCGAAAGCCUGAUGGAGCGACGCCGCGUGGGGGAUGAAUGGCUUCGGCCCGUAAACCCCUGUCAUUCGCGAACAAAUUGGUUCACUUAAUACCUGAACCAUUGAUAGUAGCGGAAGAGGAAGGGACGGCUAACUCUGUGCCAGCAGCCGCGGUAAUACAGAGGUCCCAAGCGUUGUUCGGAUUCACUGGGCGUAAAGGGUGCGUAGGCGGUCGGGUAAGUCUGAUGUGAAAUCUCAGAGCUCAACUCUGAAACUGCAUUGGAUACUAUUCGGCUUGAGGUCUGGAGGGGGGACUGGAAUUCUCGGUGUAGCAGUGAAAUGCGUAGAUAUCGAGAGGAACACCAGUGGCGAAGGCGAGUCCCUGGACAGAUCCUGACGCUGAGGCACGAAAGCUAGGGGAGCAAACAG